This 310-nucleotide ribosomal RNA is filed under the name uncultured sulfate-reducing bacterium. RNAcentral's name for it is "partial 16S ribosomal RNA". The record is from RNAcentral.
GGACGAGGUAUUCGAAUUACUUUCACCUCCAUUACCCUGGCCGGCCCAGCGCCGGUAUCGCCCUGGGCCUGCUGCCUCAACAUGUGUGGCGCUGUGCAUGCAUCUGACAUCGCGGUCCUUGGGCGUUCAUCGUAAGCCGCCGAUGGUUGAUCAUGACCCCAUCACCGGCCUUUGCGAACUGCCGCUGGCCAUCUCAGCCUGUCCGCUGGGUGCUAUUAAGCCCGCUAAGGCCACCAACGAGAAAGGCUAAGAGGUUAAGUCGGUUGUCGUCUAUUGCCGCCAAGUGUAUGUACUACGGUAACUGCUAAAA